Molecule: RNA transcript, 2606 nt
Organism: Odontomachus brunneus
Lineage: Eukaryota; Metazoa; Arthropoda; Insecta; Hymenoptera; Formicidae
Exons: 8
Source: RefSeq, a predicted model, not a curated record
AGUCUGCUUUCGGUUUGGCCAUCGCGAACGCGCGCCGAGCUCAGUAGGAGCGCGGCGUUCACGACGUGCGCUUCGCUAACGGCGAUCACGCGGUCGUCGUCCUCGAAGUCGUCGCCCCGAUCGAGUUUCCGGCUACCGUGGGGAACCGCGCUACGAAUCGCCGCGUCAUAAAAACAACACCGUGCUAGUCCUACGGUCGACGGAAGGGCAGAGAGAACUUCGUCGAAGGGUCGGGGGCGCGCAAAGGAUCAGCCUGUCCUCGUUGACUAUCGACGCCUGGAUCCCAACUUGGAUACUGUUGCGGCGGCGACUGGAUAACGAGAACAGGAUCAUCGCGAUGUGAUCGGGAGGAAUGAGUCCAGAAGAUUUCGUGGGUCCGCGAGAGACAAGCUCGAUGCUCGAGGAGAGCCUGCGCAGUCGGUGAACCCUGACCGCGAGGCAGCGGGUGCGUGACUGCAAGGAUGCGCGUACGCAGGAGACGGUGCGUGAUGUCCCGGUGACGACGACCACGACGACGAGGGCGAGGACGAACGCGAUCAUCACGACACACGUAAGCUCGCACGGAUUCGCUCACUCAUUAACGAACCUACGCGCGCGCUCACGCACCGAGAAGAGAUAGAGACAGAAAGAGAGAAAGAGAGAGAGAGAGAGAAAGGGAGAGAAAGAGAGAAAAGAGCGAAAUACCGUCGAUGCCGCGAUGAGGCUGGGUCCGAUUGUCCUGUCGUGGGUCACAGCCACGGCCAGUUGGCUGUGCCUGGCGGAAGCGCGAACGCCGCGCUCCAGGGACUACGAGCUCUCGACGGAGUUCUUCCUGGUGCCGUCCGAGAUCGGCCACGGCUUGGCGAGCGUGGCGAGCGUUAUCAGCGUACCAGCUCCGAACCGGACGGUCACCGUGUUCCGGACACCGCCGAGCAGGAAGGGCCAGUUGGAGCACGAGGUAGAAAUGCGACCAACGACGCCGCGGUCCUUGCUGAAACAGCGGCCUUGGGCGCUGCCGUUGGCCGCGCUUAGCGCGGCCGCGAUGCUCCUCAUGGCCGGUUUUGAGGUCUUCGUGCUGCUCAAGGCCAGGGCGACGGCGCCGAACAGACGACACCUGUUCCUGGGCCAGGCGUUGCUCCUUGGCCUCUUCCUCUUGGCAGGACUAUCGGCCGCGGCGUCGCUCAGCCAAAAUCCGCUGUCCUGCGCCGCCUUCCGACUGGUGGGUUUGCCGGCCGCCCUCGUGUUCGCCGCGCUGUUGGUCAAAUGCGUCUUCUUGCUCUCGUUGAACAGCGGCGUGUACCUGCCGGCGCCUUAUCAGGCUUCUUCUUACCGGUUGCUGCUGCAGGCGCUGGUGCUGGUGUUCGCGGUGUUGGUGCAGGUGGCCAUUGUCGGGCAAUGGUUUUACGGCGAACCACCUGCGGUGAUCCAGGUGCAAGGCGCGGGCCAAAGCUCGCCAGCAUCAUCCACCUCCUGCAAGACUCCGCUCGGACAGAUAGUGGCUUCCCUCGGGUAUCCUGGAGCGCUGCUGGUGGCGGUGGCCUGCUUGGCGGUGCGGGCACGUGGCGUGCGCGACAAUAAUCGGGAAGCGGCCUUCAUCGGAUUGGCGGUCGGCCUCUCGUUGCCGAUUUGGAUUUCCAGCGGCAUCGGCUCGAUCGUGGCCGGCAGCGAGGGCGACCGCGAGGCUUGGCUGGCCUACGGUCUCUUGGCUACGUCCCUCUUCGUCUUCCUCACGAUGUUCCUGCCGAAGGGCCGGCAACUGGCCGCCCUGGGUCGCGAGGGACCCGCGACGGUGAUCCGCGACCGCGACGACGCCCUCAGCUCGUUGCCCGGCAGCGGCUACUCGCCCUCCUUCUUCCACUUCAAGCCCGCCGAGGCGUCGCUCAAGAGGAAGAUGCAUUACCACAGCGCCGAUCGAGUCGCACUGGUCUCGUCCGGGAUACCCGGAUGCAGCGCCUGCAGGCACGGAGGAAGUCCUAUAUACUCCGAUGAUGUGCACGGGCCCAUGGAGACUUUCGUUCUGCCACCCGGCAUGUACCUGAGGCCGGAGGACGCCGGGAACCUCUACACGACCUUGUCGGCCAAUCCCAACGUGUUCUUCCAGAGAGCGGCCCAUCCUGGGAUGAUGUACUGAUAAGGCGGACCAUUCCGUGCGAAUUCUUCGCCCCGAUAUCGCCGACCGACACAAGAUCGGGCCGAGCCUUUGUAUCGCGCUUUAGAUUAGAUUACGGAAACGAUAAAGCGAUUGUUCUUCGGUGUAAAUAAUCGUUGUUGUUAGAUCCUAUUAAGUGCGUCUCGAGGUACGUCGAGGCGCGAUUCUACGGACUCUUUUUGUAACGCGAAGGUGGAUGAUCGUGCGAGUGUGCUUCGCGAGAAAUACGUGUGCGAUACGUUGCAGAGCGACGCGAUUGAUUAGUGACUUAGUCGAGAAUCGUCGACGAAUCCCGUGAGCCGACGGGAAAGUGUGUGCCUCCAAGAUAACUCAAUAAACGCAGUCAACAAUAUGGCGCCAUAGUGAUACGUUGCAUUACGCGAUCGGCCGCACAUAUGUUUUUCGCGCCAAUGAAAGCCACGAGUCUCGUUGGUGGAACGUUCGGUAGUCCGCUCGGGACCAACAUUGCCGGGUGAAA